GGGAGCAUGUGGUUUAAUUGGAUGCAACGGGAAGAACCUUACCUACUCUUGACAUCCAGAGAAUUUAGCAGAGAUGGUUUGGUGCCUUGGGGAACUUUGAGACAGGUGGUGCAGGGGUGUUGUGAGCUUGUGUUGUGAAAUGUGGGGUAAAGUCCCGAAAAGAGCGAAACCUUUUUCUUUUGUCCCCACGCGUUUAGGUGGGGAACUCAAAGGAGACGCCCGGUGAUAAACGGGAGGAAGGUGGGGAGGACGUCAAUUCUUCAGGCCCCUUAGGCCUGGGGUUCCCCCCGGGUUCCAAUGGCGGAUCAAAGGGGAGGCGAUCUCGGGAGGGCAGGGAAUCCUCAUAAACCCGUUUCUAGUCGGGAUGGGGGUCUGCAAUCUG
RNAcentral lists this ribosomal RNA (382 nucleotides) under uncultured Pectobacterium sp. RNAcentral's name for it is "bacterial SSU rRNA". It matches the Rfam family "Bacterial small subunit ribosomal RNA", at positions 934 to 1314 of the family's 1533-position model. Lineage: Bacteria; Pseudomonadati; Pseudomonadota; Gammaproteobacteria; Enterobacterales; Pectobacteriaceae. The record is from RNAcentral.